This 758-nucleotide small RNA is filed under the name Pongo abelii (Sumatran orangutan). RNAcentral's name for it is "processed transcript". Lineage: Eukaryota; Metazoa; Chordata; Mammalia; Primates; Hominidae. The record is from RNAcentral.
GGAUCCAAGAUGGCGUAGAAAGUAAUGACAGGAUUUGGAUGAAGUAAUUGAUCACUAAUGAACUACAGUGCUGGUGAGAUGUGUAAGAAAUUAUAAAGAGCUCUGAUGGGCUAUUUGGGUGACACCCAGUGCAGUGAACUGCAGGAUUUUUGUCCCUGAGUCAUGGAAGACAGAAGAGCUGAAAAGUCAUGUGAACAAGCAUGUGAAUCACUUAAGAGGCAGGACUAUGAAAUGGCCCUCAAGCACUGCACAGAGGCCCUUCUUUCUCUUGGCCAGUACUCCAUGGCAGACUUCACAGGGCCUUGUCCAUUGGAAAUAGAACGCAUCAAAAUCGAGAGUCUUCUCUACAGAAUUGCCUCAUUUUUGCAACUGAAAAAUUAUGUGCAAGCUGAUGAAGAUUGUAGACAUGUGCUGGGAGAAGGACUGGCCAAGGGAGAGGAUGCCUUUCGGGCAGUGCUUUGCUGCAUGCAGCUGAAAGGGAAGCUCCAACCUGUAUCUGCCAUUCUUGCCAAGUCACUGACAGGAGAGUCCCUGAAUGGGAUGGUAACAAAGGAUUUGACAAGACUAAAAACACUUCUCUCAGAAACAGAGAUUUUUAGAGCAAGGAAUCUGUAGGUAUGGUGCCCAGUGUACUUCAGCACAUUCCCAGGAAGAACUAGCAGAAUGGCAGAAAAGAUAUGCGUCACGGCUGAUAAAAUUGAAACAGCAAAAUGAGAAUAAACAGCUCUCAGGCAGUUACAUGGAAACCUUGAUAGAAA